Molecule: unclassified non-coding RNA, 314 nt
Filed under: uncultured Junghuhnia
Lineage: Eukaryota; Fungi; Basidiomycota; Agaricomycetes; Polyporales; Steccherinaceae
Description: sequence contains ITS2
Rfam family: 5.8S ribosomal RNA (bases 1-52)
Source: RNAcentral
AACGCACCUUGCGCUCCUUGGUAUUCCGAGGAGCAUGCUUGUUUGAGUGUCAUGGUAUUCUCAACCCUCCUGCAUUUUUUAUUAAACGCGGUUGGGCUUGGACUUGGAGGCUUUGCUGGUGUCUGAAUAUUUUUUUAUUCGGACGUGGGCUCCUCUGAAAUGCAUUAGCUUGAAUAAAUCCAAGCAUGAUCCAGUGUGAUAAUUGUCUACGCUGCUUCAUCUCGGAAUAAAAAAAAUUCUAGCUUCUAAUCGUCCUUCGGGACUUACUCUGAACAUCUGACCUCAAAUCAAGUAGGACUACCCGCUGAACUUAA